GAGCUUGCUUCUCUGAUGGUUAGCGGCGGACGGGUGAGUAACACGUAGGCACCUGCCCUCAGUUUGGGACAACUACCGGAACGGUAGCUAAUACCGAAUAGUUGUUUUCUUCUCCUGAAGAGAACUGGAAAGACGGAGCAAUCUGUCACUUGGGGAUGGGCCUGCGGCGCAUUAGCUAGUUGGUGGGGUAACGGCUCACCAAGGCGACGAUGCGUAGCCGACCUGAGAGGGUGAUCGGCCACACUGGGACUGAGACACGGCCCAGACUCCUACGGGAGGCAGCAGUAGGGAAUCUUCCGCAAUGGGCGAAAGCCUGACGGAGCAAUGCCGCGUGAGUGAUGAAGGUUUUCGGAUCGUAAAGCUCUGUUGCCAGGGAAGAACGCUUGGGAGAGUAACUGCUCUCAAGGUGACGGUACCUGAGAAGAA
Molecule: ribosomal RNA, 426 nt
Filed under: Bacillus sp. Iso-56
Lineage: Bacteria; Bacillati; Bacillota; Bacilli; Caryophanales; Bacillaceae
Description: bacterial SSU rRNA
Rfam family: Bacterial small subunit ribosomal RNA
Source: RNAcentral